GGGGCCAGGUCCAGGGCAAAACGCAGUCAGCCAUUCAGGAAACCAGUCUUGGGAAACGCGAUCGAGGAGGGAUUGAAGAUUAGACAGUUUGAUGUUGUUGUUGCUGUUGGUUGUUGUUUCUCUCUCUCUCUCUCUCUCUCUCUCUUUCUCUUUCCCAAAGAAAUACAAAAGCAAUUGGAUGUGACUAAUUCGCAGAGGAGACGAAUUCACGGCGAAGUGUAAAAAUAUAGAAUAUGAAUAAUAAUGGCACACGCAGAAAACGAGAGAUCCAAAGUUUCCUCGGAACCUGGAUCGCUUCAGCUGGCACCCAGAACCCCGGCCAAACCAGGCUUCACCAGAGCUGUGCAGAGACCAUCCAGUUCACUGACUACUCCAUGGAACUCAAGAACAACCGUCAUUAGAGAGGAUAAAGGGAAGCAAUCUGUAGCCUCCUCUCUCCCCCACGCCCUGCAGUUUCUCAUCUCAAUAGGCACACAGGGCUGCCUUGUCAGAACACACUGAACAACAACUGGCUAUUCACGCAUAGAAAGGUUUUCCGUAAGUGUCCCAUUAAUGUACUGCCCUAUGCUGGAAUGUGAGAUUUGAUGGGCUCAAAUACAGAGAAAUUUUGUUGCAAGGACUCAAGCAUCUUGUGCAAAGCUUUCAAAAUGUAAG
RNAcentral lists this long non-coding RNA (654 nucleotides) under Chrysemys picta bellii (western painted turtle). RNAcentral describes it as "lncRNA (ENSCPBG00000010537.1)". The record is from RNAcentral. Lineage: Eukaryota; Metazoa; Chordata; Testudines; Emydidae.